CGGGAGGCAGCAGUGGGGAAUAUUGGACAAUGGGCGCAAGCCUGAUCCAGCCAUGCCGCGUGAGUGACGAAGGUCUUCGGAUUGUAAAGCUCUUUUGGCGGGGACGAUAAUGACGGUACCCGCAGAAUAAGCCCCGGCUAACUUCGUGCCAGCAGCCGCGGUAAU
RNAcentral lists this ribosomal RNA (165 nucleotides) under uncultured Hyphomicrobium sp. RNAcentral's name for it is "partial 16S ribosomal RNA". It matches the Rfam family "Bacterial small subunit ribosomal RNA", at positions 342 to 524 of the family's 1533-position model. The record is from RNAcentral. Lineage: Bacteria; Pseudomonadati; Pseudomonadota; Alphaproteobacteria; Hyphomicrobiales; Hyphomicrobiaceae.